CAAUGCCCUAAUUUCAGAAACCUCUAUAAAUAACCCAACGGUCUUCUUCCCUCCUAUGCUUUGUUGGCGGCUGAAAUUAGGGUUGUGAACUGCUCCAAAAUUCUAACUUCAAAGGUUUCUUACAAAUGCCGUGAGGAGCUAUUGCAUUCAGGAAGCCCUCAUUCUCAUUGUAAAGAAAUCAAAUCAAAGAGAGCACCGGUUUUGUUCACAACUUUGGGAUUUUUGGGGUCAUUCAUAGGAAAUUGGUUGCGUAUAAUUUUUCAUUUUAUUGUAAUUAGGCUCGUACUCAGCUGAGUUGUUUUGACUCUAUUAGUGAUGGAUAUGAAAUGGAAGUGUUUUAUUUUAAACUUGUCAAUAUUUUCUCUUUUUCUCAACGUUAGCAACUUAGCAGCUUCAAAAGUUUUAUGUGGAGUUAGAAACAUGGCAAUACCACUCUGAAUUUUGUUUACCACUUGUUGAUCUCUUCUUUCUUAGCUUUCUUAGCAAUGCAAUACUAGAUGGAAAAUUUGUUUCAA
Long non-coding RNA from Prunus dulcis (almond), 515 nucleotides. RefSeq lists it as uncharacterized. NCBI's taxonomy places the organism in Eukaryota, Viridiplantae, Streptophyta, Magnoliopsida, Rosales, Rosaceae. The transcript is spliced from 2 exons. The record is from RefSeq and is a predicted model, not a curated record.